UAAUGAGCGGUAACGAAGGAAUAGUAUGCGUGUAUUGAUGUAAAAGAGAGUGAAGUUUAUAAGCUGAAAGACUUCAUUACAUACGAUCCGCAGAACCUACCUUCUGAGCCCUAUGGAAAACCAUAGGCGCAAAUGUUGCGUUAUCAAACAAAGUGGGAUAGUUUUUUACUAUCCAAUUAAGGUGGUACCACGGAUAAACAGCCAUUUCGUCCUUAUA
Molecule: non-coding RNA, 217 nt
Filed under: Heyndrickxia ginsengihumi
Lineage: Bacteria; Bacillati; Bacillota; Bacilli; Caryophanales; Bacillaceae
Description: Bacillus ginsengihumi T-box sequence
Rfam family: T-box leader
About the family: Uncharged tRNA acts as the effector for transcription antitermination of genes in the T-box leader family. T-boxes are found upstream of many aminoacyl-tRNA synthetase genes and some amino acid biosynthetic genes usually in Gram-positive bacteria. The anticodon of a specific tRNA base pairs to a specifier sequence within the T-box motif, and the NCCA acceptor tail of the tRNA base pairs to a conserved bulge in the T-box antiterminator hairpin.
Source: RNAcentral